CAUGGCAGCACAGAGAGGAGACCCAGAGGAGCAGGAGGACCAGGUGUGAAGAUGCAGUCAAACCAGAGGGAGACUCACCUGGACGGAGACGGGAACAAGUGGACAUAUUUCCCUUCAGUACCACUAGUUAAUAUCUGAGGUCUUUUAUUUUAAAUGUUCUUUUAUUGUGAAUUGCAUUGGUAGAAAACUUUGAAUUUCAUUGUUGCUGAAAUGGGUUUUAUACAUAAUCUUGACUUAAAAUAUCAGAAGCAGUGGCGUGCAGCUAAAUAUUCGUAGUGCUUUAAUUAUACCUGGUUGUGUGUGUGAUUUAAUGUUAAUGCAAUAAACUGCUUUUAAGAAAUACUGA
Non-coding RNA from Gasterosteus aculeatus aculeatus (three-spined stickleback), 346 nucleotides. NCBI's taxonomy places the organism in Eukaryota, Metazoa, Chordata, Actinopteri, Perciformes, Gasterosteidae. The record is from RefSeq and is a predicted model, not a curated record.